GACAGAGGAGGCAAGCGUUGUUCGGCGUCACUGGGCUUAAAGGGCGCGUAGGCGGCCAAGUAAGUGUCCUGUGAAAUCCCGCUGCUCAACGGCGGAACUGCAGGGCAAACUGCGUGGCUUGAGGUCGGUAGAGGUGACUGGAACUCUAGGUGGAGCGGUGAAAUGCGUAGAUAUCUAGAGGAACGCCGGAGGCGAAAGCGGGUCACUGGGCCGAAUCUGACGCUGAUGCGCGAAAGCGUGGGGAGCAAACAGG
RNAcentral lists this ribosomal RNA (253 nucleotides) under uncultured bacterium. RNAcentral describes it as "partial 16S ribosomal RNA". It matches the Rfam family "Bacterial small subunit ribosomal RNA", at positions 524 to 776 of the family's 1533-position model. The record is from RNAcentral.